Molecule: long non-coding RNA, 1364 nt
Organism: Spinacia oleracea (spinach)
Lineage: Eukaryota; Viridiplantae; Streptophyta; Magnoliopsida; Caryophyllales; Amaranthaceae
Exons: 3
Source: RefSeq, a predicted model, not a curated record
UAAAAUUAAUAUAAGUAGUAUACGAAACAACCCAAAUCUGCGCUCUUUCUUUUCAAAUAAAAAAAAAAAAAAAAAAUCAGAAAAUUUUCUCUAGUUUGUUAGAAUUACGAAACUACCCCUAAGUCAACUCACAAAAGAGGCAAAGUCCACUUCUUCUUCUUCCCCAACUCUGUCGUGGAAGCAGUUCAAUAAGGCCACGAAUUUCCUUCCAAAUGUCACUCAAAAAUCAGGUUACUCACCCAUUUGAGCUUACUCAUCAAGUGCAAAAGCACCCGGUUUAGUUACUUCUCUCACAAAAGCUUCCAUGGUUUUCAUUUGGAGGUUUUGCAAAACCAUUAGCAUGAGCUCAUGGCUUACGUGAUUCCUCUCCCAAACUUCCCUAUAAAUACUCAUGAAAUCAGGCCAUAAAACUCACCCAACCAAGCACCAACUCACAGAAAAAUAAGCACAAGAAAUUAGCUAUGUAAUUCCCGUAACUAUCCCCUGUUUUCGCGCAUCACCACCACUGUCACCACCGCGGCACCGCCGCCUAUACAACCCACUACUACCAUAAGCACCUCCUCUCGUUAACUAAGACAAAGUGAAACCAUUGUCCUUUAUGUACAAGUCAAGUUGUAACAAACCGUAGCCGAGUCGAAACCCGAAAUCACGUAGUCCCUCUCUCUCUCUCCUCAUUAGAGCGAGCCACCACCGUCUACCACCACCCAGAAGCUGCCUCCAUGAACCUCCGACCGCCUACUCUCAAAACAGUACCACUCUUGUGCCGCCUCACACGCAACCCAUCUUCCUCCUUGUCUCGUGCUUCUCUGUUUCACGAGACCAAAUUGGUCUUGAAACCAAUUCCCCCAAUUGGAGUAAUAUAGUAUACUGUACCUAAUAUCCAAAAGUCAACCUUUGCUUCCUUUUAACCACCAAAUAAAAUGAUGCUGAGCUCGGGAGAUACGGUACAUUGAACAGGAAGUACAAACUACGGUUGAGGUACGAAGAAGAUCGUGGGAUGCCUUAGAGUGAGGAUGCAACCAUCAAAUUCACGAUCGAUGUUUAAUAAAGAUAACUAUGUCAUUAGUAAUGAAGGGAUAUAUUAAUUAAACUCUAAGUUUGAUUUCACGAUUUGAGUUAGAUUUUUAAAUUAACGUUAAACAUGUUAGAAAUAUUUAUUAAGGUUUACUUAGAUUUCAAUGAAAUUUUUUAAAGAAUUAAUCGAAGUGAAGUAUAGUUACUGUUACUCAACAGUAGUCAGUAAAUGUAAAAGGUUAUGUCGCCUUGUAUUUCCCACGAGGGAGAUACGGCAAGUGACGCUCCGACUAAAUUAGGGUUUCCGCUGCUAAUUAAAGAUAAUUAACCUAAUUAAUGGUGUUUGGAAG